RNAcentral lists this transfer RNA (71 nucleotides) under Loxodonta africana (African savanna elephant). It matches the Rfam family "tRNA". Rfam says of the family: Transfer RNA (tRNA) molecules are approximately 80 nucleotides in length. Their secondary structure includes four short double-helical elements and three loops (D, anti-codon, and T loops). Further hydrogen bonds mediate the characteristic L-shaped molecular structure. tRNAs have two regions of fundamental functional importance: the anti-codon, which is responsible for specific mRNA codon recognition, and the 3' end, to which the tRNAs corresponding amino acid is attached (by aminoacyl-tRNA synthetases). tRNAs cope with the degeneracy of the genetic code in two manners: having more than one tRNA (with a specific anti-codon) for a particular amino acid; and 'wobble' base-pairing, i.e. permitting non-standard base-pairing at the 3rd anti-codon position. The record is from Rfam by way of RNAcentral. Lineage: Eukaryota; Metazoa; Chordata; Mammalia; Proboscidea; Elephantidae.
ACAGUGGUGGUUCAGAGGUAGAAUUUUCACCUCCCAUUCAGGAGGCCUGGGUUUGAUUCCCAGCCAAUGCA